RNAcentral lists this ribosomal RNA (432 nucleotides) under uncultured bacterium. RNAcentral's name for it is "bacterial SSU rRNA". It matches the Rfam family "Bacterial small subunit ribosomal RNA", at positions 338 to 795 of the family's 1533-position model. The record is from RNAcentral.
CCUANGGGUGGCUGCAACUAGGAAUCUUUUGCAAUGGACGAAAGUCUGACAAAGCGACACUGCGUGAAGGAUGAAGGCCCUCGGGUCGUAAACUUCUUUUGAUUAUCAUAGCGAUAAUAGAAUAAACCCCUGCUAACUACGUGCCAGAAGCCUCGGUAAUACGUGGGGGGUGAGCGUUAUCCGGAUUUAUUGGGCGUAAAGCGUUUCGUAGGCGGUUUACCACAUCCUGUUUUAAAGCCUCCGGCUCAACCGGAGAUCUGGACAGGAGAUGGGUAGGCUGGAGGUAUAUCGGGGAUACUGGAAUUCAUGGUGGAGCAGUGAAAUGCGUUGAUAUCAUGAAGAACACCAAGGGCGAAGGCGAGUAUCUAGGUAUGUCCUGACGCUGAGGAACGAAAGCUAGGGGAGCGAAAGGGAUUAGAUACCCCUNUANUC